CGGACGGGUGAGUAAUGUCUGGGAAACUGCCCGAUGGAGGGAGAUAACUACUGGAAACGGUAGCUAAUACCGCAUAACGUCGCAAGACCAAAGAGGGGGACCUUCGGGCCUCUUGCCAUCGGAUGUGCCCAGAUGGGAUUAGCUAGUAGGUGGGGUAACGGCUCACCUAGGCGACGAUCCCUAGCUGGUCUGAGAGGAUGACCAGCCACACUGGAACUGAGACACGGCCCAG
RNAcentral lists this ribosomal RNA (232 nucleotides) under uncultured bacterium. Its description in RNAcentral is "partial 16S ribosomal RNA". It matches the Rfam family "Bacterial small subunit ribosomal RNA", at positions 99 to 334 of the family's 1533-position model. The record is from RNAcentral.